RNAcentral lists this long non-coding RNA (431 nucleotides) under Homo sapiens (human). RNAcentral describes it as "HSALNT0395917". The record is from RNAcentral. Lineage: Eukaryota; Metazoa; Chordata; Mammalia; Primates; Hominidae.
GGGAGGGGCGCGCAGGCGCGGACCGCCUGGCGGUACUUUGAAGAAAGACUUCUCGACGCCGAGACACUGCUGGUGGUACUCGAUGUAGAUCACGUGGAUGGCAGGAGCAGUGGCAAAGGACUUUCAACUGACAGACAAGCAUGAGAUGGUGGUCAGCUACCUCCCACUCAGCCAUAUUGCAGCACAGAUGAUGGACAUCUGGGUACCCAUAAAGAUUGGGGCGCUCACAUACUUUGCUCAAGCAGAUGCUCUCAAGAAUUGGUCCAGUGAUUUGUUUUGACUGACAGAAAGGAGCAGAAGGGAUGCUGUGGAAAUUCUGGGACUGACAAAUCUUUGGGACCACUUGCUGUUGGGAGAGUCAGCCACCAGGUUAAGAAGUUCAAGAGUGAUGGCCAAGCGUGGUGGCUCAUGUUUGUAGUCCCAGCACUUUG